Molecule: long non-coding RNA, 552 nt
Organism: Erpetoichthys calabaricus (reedfish)
Lineage: Eukaryota; Metazoa; Chordata; Cladistia; Polypteriformes; Polypteridae
Exons: 4
Source: RefSeq, a predicted model, not a curated record
GGGGUCUACUAAAAUAAUUGAACUGGCUCCACACAAAUGUCCAAAAGAAACUGGGGGGUCCUGGACAAAUUCAACUGCAGUGUGAUAACCUGUGAGGGACCUACUAAAAUAAUUAAACUGGCUCCACACAAAUGUCCAAAAGUAACUGGGGGGUCCUGGACAAAUUCUACUGCAGUGUGAUAACCUCUGAGGGGUCUACUAAAAUAAUUAAACUGGCUCCACUCAAAGGUCCAUCAGUAAAUGGGUGGUCCUGGACAAAUACAACUGCAGUGUGAUAACUUGUGAGGGGUCUACUAAAAUAAUUAAACUGGCUCCACACAAAGGUCAAUCAGUAACUGGGGGGGUCCUGGACAAAUACAACUGCAGUGUGAUAACUUGUGAGGGGUCUACUAAAAUAAUUAAACUGGCUCCACACAAUGGUCUCAUACAAAGUGCCUACAGGCAAUUCACAUAACUGCAUAUUUUGUGCUUUAAAUGAAAUAAGCUGGAGCUCAAGAGUUUCCCAACCCUUUUCUGUGGUCAUGAUUGCAGACUUAAUUGAUUUGUAUAAUA